This 486-nucleotide ribosomal RNA is filed under the name uncultured Eubacteriales bacterium. RNAcentral's name for it is "bacterial SSU rRNA". It matches the Rfam family "Bacterial small subunit ribosomal RNA", at positions 36 to 523 of the family's 1533-position model. Lineage: Bacteria; Bacillati; Bacillota; Clostridia; Eubacteriales. The record is from RNAcentral.
CUGGCGGCGUGCUUAACACAUGCAAGUCGAACGGGAUUUAGUAGACAGAAACCUCGGUGGAAGAUUACUAAUGAGAGUGGCGAACGGGUGAGUAACGCGUGAGCAACCUGCCUAUGACAGUGGGAUAGCCUCGGGAAACCGGGAUUAAUACCGCAUAAAAUCGUAGAAACACAUGUUUCAACGGUCAAAGAUUUAUCGGUCAUAGAUGGGCUCGCGUCUGAUUAGCUAGUUGGUGAGAUAACAGCCCACCAAGGCGACGAUCAGUAGCCGGUCUGAGAGGAUGAACGGCCACAUUGGAACUGAGACACGGUCCAAACUCCUACGGGAGGCAGCAGUGGGGAAUAUUGCACAAUGGGGGAAACCCUGAUGCAGCGACGCCGCGUGAACGAAGAAGGUAUUCGUAUCGUAAAGUUCUGUCCUAUGGGAAGAUAAUGACAGUACCAUAGAAGAAAGCUCCGGCUAAAUACGUGCCAGCCGCCGCGGUAA